RNAcentral lists this long non-coding RNA (788 nucleotides) under Homo sapiens (human). RNAcentral describes it as "HSALNT0355509". Lineage: Eukaryota; Metazoa; Chordata; Mammalia; Primates; Hominidae. The record is from RNAcentral.
ACACGCGGACGGUUCUGUGCGCCGCAAUGGCUGCCCGCGAGUAUCGGAGAGGCGGAGCUCUCAGUCUUUUACAGGACCGGGUCUCCUGAUGCCGCCGGUGGUUCCUCGAGGCCCCCUUCCACGCAUCCGCCGCCGCUGCUUCAUCAGGACUUCAUUUCGGUGACGCAGAGCUUUGGCGAGAGCUACGGCAACAGCAAGAACUGCCGGCGGCUCUUGUGCUGCAGGAGAUGAGAGAUCGUAGAAAUAAAGACACAAGACAAAGAGAUGGAAGAAAAGACAGCUGGGCCCAGGGGACCACUACCACCAAGGCAUGGAGACCGGUAGUGGCCCCGAAUGCCUGGCUGCACUGUUAUUCAUUCGAUACAAGGCAAGGGGGCAGGUAAGAAGUGUGAGUCGUCUCCAGCGAUACGUAAGGUCAUGUGAGUCACGUGUCCACCGGACAGGGGGCCCUUCCCUAUUUGGUAGCCGAGGCGGAGAGAGAAUGGGGACAGCUUAUGUCAUUAUUUCUUCUAUGUAUUUCUCGGAGAGAUCAAAGACUUUAAUACUUUCACUAAUUCUGCUACUGCUAUCUAGAAGGCACAGCCAGGUGUACAGGGCGGAACACGAAAGUGGACCAGGAGCGUGACCGCUGAAGCACAGCAUCACAGGGAGACGUUUAGGCCUCCGGAUGGCUGCGGGCGGGCUUGACUGAUGUCAGGCCUUCCACAAGAGGUGGUGGAGCAGAGUCUUCUCUAACUCCCCUGGGGAAACGAGACUCCCUUUCCUGGUCUGCUAAGCAGUGGGUGUCU